GCCUUGGUGGUCUAGUGGUAGGAUACCUGCUUAGGGCGGUUGUCUUAAAUGCAGGUGAUCCCAGGUUCGAUCCCUGGCCAAGGCC
This is a non-coding RNA of Lophiotrema nucula, 85 nucleotides long. NCBI's taxonomy places the organism in Eukaryota, Fungi, Ascomycota, Dothideomycetes, Pleosporales, Lophiotremataceae. The record is from the annotation of a GenBank genome assembly.